Molecule: long non-coding RNA, 1868 nt
Filed under: Olea europaea subsp. europaea
Lineage: Eukaryota; Viridiplantae; Streptophyta; Magnoliopsida; Lamiales; Oleaceae
Source: RNAcentral
AAUUUCUUCACAACAAUCAUGUUUGAAAUAGAAAGUGCAAAUUACUAUAAGUACACAUUAAACGGAAGAUUCAAAGUAAGUUGUAUAUCUAACACCGAAACAUGAUACAACAAUAUUCAUAUAAAUGGCCAAUAAACUAGAAAAAUUACAAUUACAACGAAAAAUGAAAUCACAUUGUCCAUGUCUAAAAUGGAAAACGCUCAGCCCUUACUCAGAAAUGCCUUAUUAUCCCAGUCGAAACAGUACUCUGCAAACUUGAAACACAAUACAAUAUCUUAGCAGUGCAAUAAGAAUUUCGAUUUUCUUUAUCUUGGAGGAACCACGGGGCGAACUGGUGGAGCUCAUCACCUUCCGCCACAGCGACAUAAGUUCGUCGACACACUUACCUUCCAACUUUCCUCACAUACAAUGUGAUCUCGCAAUUAAGGCUAGAUUCAUUCCAACACUGACCAUUUGCUCAAGAGAAGCAGAAACCUCGUGUGCACUGUACUUUUUCCUAUGUCCUUUCCCUUUCCUAUGGUCGCAUUUCCUUUUUUUUACCUACUGUGUUUGCCAAAAAUAUUCAUGGACGAGUUAGCUCUAUCAUCAAGUAAGCAUAGAUCUGGAGAUCUCGAAUAGGGCAACAACUGGAAUCGGUUGUCUCCGCGUUGAUUGGCAACUCGUUGCCUCCGUCCUUUCUUUCACUAUUGUGCCCAAGUCAAAACCACGUUGAGAUAGCUUCGAUGGGGAAAACGCAUACUUCAUUGAGUCACCAGUGUCGUCAAACAAUUUUUCAUGCGUGUCAUAUAUCUCGCUACAGUUAAAAUUUCUGUACUUUGCAUAUUUUGGGUUCUCUUGAAUUGACAAUGAACACAACAAAUUACAUUUGUCUAUAUAAUUAUAUGUAAAUUCAAAAAUUAAUGUCAAACAGAGAAAUGGAUUGUGGGGAUCAAGACUAAAUGGAGAGGAACGACAACUCAUUGACAAAAUUACACGAAUAGCACUAAUCCAUGGUAUUUUCCACCACAGUAUCAAGUUCAAUACAAUUUAUAUAAACUUGUAACACACUUCAACAUACAAAGACGUACUCAUCUUUGGGGAGGGUGUAUAUGAUUCAACUCUCAAUUGUCCCCAAUUCACGAUACAAACAAUUUCAGAAUUAAAUCUUCUACAUUGCUGUGUUAGGAAUUUCAAGUAAUGCACAGUGUUUAGCACGGCAAUAUCAAGUUAGACAUAAUUUGCAGAAACUCGUAUUGGGCAGUCAACAUACAAAAAUUCAUAAUAGACAUUUAACAUGUUGAAACUGAUUUAUUCCACAAAUGAACUUGAAAAUUAAAUGCCAAACACGUUUGAGAUAUAAUGUUUUGCGAGGAAAUCCCCCCCCCCCCCCAAAAAAAAAUCACUGAACUUUGCAGAAAAUUCCCUAGGACGGCACCGAACUUCAGUACGUCCCUGAAUGGUCAUCGAACUUUUUUGAAAUCCCCCAAGAGGUCAUCGAACUUCAAAACGCCCUUGAAUGGUCACUGAGCUUUGCAAAAAAUCUCUAGGAGGUCACUCGACUAGUUAUUUAUGGGGUCCCAAUUUACAAUAUUGAGUGACCUCUCUGGGGGAUUUUAGCAAAGUUCAGUGACCAUUUAGGGACGUAUUGACGUUCGGUGACCUCUUGGGGGAUUCGACCACAAAGACGAGGUUGAGAGAGGUGAUGGCUGACCGGAAAAUGAAGACUUAGUGGUUGUGGGACUAUCGACUAGUAACCGGUAAAAAAUUGAACAAGCAGGUUUGUUUGGUCAAAAUUCUUAUCGGUUUGUUUCGUGUGAAAAGCUCUGAUUGCAACACAGUAAAACGGCACAAUAUGGAGAAGGAGAGAAUGAAAUUGAAGGGUUAAAAUG